CUCGUCUCAUCCUGGGGCUGAAGCAGGUCCCAAGGGUUGGGCUGUUCGCCCAUUAAAGAGGCACGCGAGCUGGGUUCAGAACGUCGUGAGACAGUUCGGUCCCUAUCCGUCGUGGGCGUCAGAUAUUUGAGAGGAGCUGUUCCUAGUACGAGAGGACCGGAACGGACAAACCACUGGUGCACCAGUUGUUCCGCCAGGAGCAUAGCUGGGUAGCUAAGUUUGGAAGGGAUAAGUGCUGAAGGCAUCUAAGCACGAAGCCCCCCUCAAGAUAAGAUAUCUCACCGAAAGGUUAAGGUCCCUGAUAGACGAUCAGGUAGAUAGGCUGGAUGUGGAAGUAUGGCAACAUAUGGAGCUGACCAGUACUAAUCGACCGAGGUCUUGAUCCAAG
RNAcentral lists this ribosomal RNA (388 nucleotides) under Acetobacterium wieringae. RNAcentral describes it as "partial 23S ribosomal RNA". It matches the Rfam family "Bacterial large subunit ribosomal RNA", at positions 2536 to 2925 of the family's 2925-position model. The record is from RNAcentral. Lineage: Bacteria; Bacillati; Bacillota; Clostridia; Eubacteriales; Eubacteriaceae.